This is an unclassified non-coding RNA of Capra hircus (goat), 153 nucleotides long. Its record names the gene 7SK. It matches the Rfam family "7SK RNA". From Rfam's summary of the family: 7SK was discovered as an abundant small nuclear RNA in the mid-70s but a possible function has only recently been suggested. Two independent studies have found that 7SK RNA binds the CDK9/cyclin T complex (known as elongation factor P-TEFb). NCBI's taxonomy places the organism in Eukaryota, Metazoa, Chordata, Mammalia, Artiodactyla, Bovidae. The record is from Ensembl.
UCCCUGCCACUUGCUUCAAGCUUGGUCAAAGAAGACAAUCUUCCUUGACAGAGGAGGAGCUUUCUUUGCCCAGUGUACACAAGUAGUUGUGUUCCCUGAACAGAACCUCCAAACAAGCUCUAAAGGCCCACAGCAGCAUUAUUCACAAUAAUC